This 218-nucleotide unclassified non-coding RNA is filed under the name Gallus gallus (chicken). RNAcentral's name for it is "G.domesticus expressed sequence Tag". The record is from RNAcentral. Lineage: Eukaryota; Metazoa; Chordata; Aves; Galliformes; Phasianidae.
CCGGCCUCGAGGAGCCCCCACGCCGCGCUGAGCCGCCGGCGCCCCGCCGUCCAGGGACCGACGGAGCAGUGCGGUGCGCGGUAACAUGUGGCGUUGGCUGGGCUUCGGGCUGUUGCUGAGCGCCGAGCUCAGCGUCGUUUCCGUCGUGGGUUGUUCUGGUUGUGGAAAAUGUGACUGCAGUGGAGUAAAAGGACAAAAGGGAGAAAGAGGCCUUCCGG